RNAcentral lists this ribosomal RNA (253 nucleotides) under uncultured bacterium. RNAcentral's name for it is "partial 16S ribosomal RNA". It matches the Rfam family "Bacterial small subunit ribosomal RNA", at positions 524 to 776 of the family's 1533-position model. The record is from RNAcentral.
UACAGAGGGUGCGAGCGUUACUCGGAAUUACUGGGCGUAAAGCGUGCGUAGACGGUUUCGUAAGUCGGGUGUGAAAUCCCCGGGCUCAACCUGGGAAUUGCAUUCGAAACUGCGAGGCUAGGGUACGGAAGAGGGAAGCGGAAUUUCUGGUGUAGCGGUGAAAUGCGUAGAUAUCAGAAGGAACAUCAGUGGCGAAAGCGGCUUCCUGGUCCAGUACCGACGCUCAGGCACGAAAGCGUGGGGAGCAAACAGG